RNAcentral lists this ribosomal RNA (830 nucleotides) under Lactiplantibacillus plantarum. RNAcentral's name for it is "bacterial SSU rRNA". It matches the Rfam family "Bacterial small subunit ribosomal RNA", at positions 76 to 893 of the family's 1533-position model. The record is from RNAcentral. Lineage: Bacteria; Bacillati; Bacillota; Bacilli; Lactobacillales; Lactobacillaceae.
GAUUUACAUUUGAGUGAGUGGCGAACUGGUGAGUAACACGUGGGAAACCUGCCCAGAAGCGGGGGAUAACACCUGGAAACAGAUGCUAAUACCGCAUAACAACUUGGACCGCAUGGUCCGAGUUUGAAAGAUGGCUUCGGCUAUCACUUUUGGAUGGUCCCGCGGCGUAUUAGCUAGAUGGUGGGGUAACGGCUCACCAUGGCAAUGAUACGUAGCCGACCUGAGAGGGUAAUCGGCCACAUUGGGACUGAGACACGGCCCAAACUCCUACGGGAGGCAGCAGUAGGGAAUCUUCCACAAUGGACGAAAGUCUGAUGGAGCAACGCCGCGUGAGUGAAGAAGGGUUUCGGCUCGUAAAACUCUGUUGUUAAAGAAGAACAUAUCUGAGAGUAACUGUUCAGGUAUUGACGGUAUUUAACCAGAAAGCCACGGCUAACUACGUGCCAGCAGCCGCGGUAAUACGUAGGUGGCAAGCGUUGUCCGGAUUUAUUGGGCGUAAAGCGAGCGCAGGCGGUUUUUUAAGUCUGAUGUGAAAGCCUUCGGCUCAACCGAAGAAGUGCAUCGGAAACUGGGAAACUUGAGUGCAGAAGAGGACAGUGGAACUCCAUGUGUAGCGGUGAAAUGCGUAGAUAUAUGGAAGAACACCAGUGGCGAAGGCGGCUGUCUGGUCUGUAACUGACGCUGAGGCUCGAAAGUAUGGGUAGCAAACAGGAUUAGAUACCCUGGUAGUCCAUACCGUAAACGAUGAAUGCUAAGUGUUGGAGGGUUUCCGCCCUUCAGUGCUGCAGCUAACGCAUUAAGCAUUCCGCCUGGGGAGUACGGCCGCAAGG